Long non-coding RNA from Lolium rigidum, 992 nucleotides. RefSeq lists it as uncharacterized. The record is from RefSeq and is a predicted model, not a curated record. Lineage: Eukaryota; Viridiplantae; Streptophyta; Magnoliopsida; Poales; Poaceae. The transcript is spliced from 3 exons.
UCAUAUGCCGGGAUGAUGCACCGCCACCCUCUCCUCACGCGGACGCGUUGGCCUGGAUGCCGCUGCUGCCCCAGUUCGCCCGCCACUGCAACCUUUGUCUCCUGAAGCUAAGCGUGCCUGCAGGAGCAAGGACUGCACCUGUUGCUUCUGACAUAUUACCUCGCAACAACGAUGGCAUAGAAGUGAUGCAGACAUCCUGGCACCCUUUUAGCAGCAGCCAUUUUGGGGUUACUGACAAGGGUUCUGUUCAUAUACCUCUAUUAUGUAUAUCAGAGCCAUUCAUUUAGUAUUUAGGUAAUCAUGUCAGUGUUCUUGUGUCAUAUAACUCUUCCACAAUUUAGGUAACCAAUCAUGCUGCUGCACAACAAUCUCACUUCAAAUAUUCGAUCUGUAUUCAUACAUGUUCUGUGGUUGCUUUUAUGUUAGAAUAAGUCAAUUGAUGGGGGAGAGAUCAGGAGCUGACUCAGAGCAUAACUACUGAAUGAACUUGAUACUACACCACAUGCAAAUGAAUGAGCUUUUUAAAAUAUUUCUAACCUGAUGUGAAACUCAAAUGAAUGUAUGGAAGUAUCAGUUCUUAUUAUUCUGUAGGUACAAUAUCUGCAUUAAGUAAUGCAAUUAAUCUUAGUGCAGAUCGCUCAACAGAUUAGCAGCAGGUGAAGUGAUAGACCAAGCAAAAUUGUCAGAGAAUAUUACACAUUGGAAGCCACAGAUCAACAAAAAGAGUCGAUUAUGAAAUACCUUCAGUUAAAGUGGUGAAAUGUGAUUGUCUAUUUGCAGCACGCCGAGGAUUGGUAUCUCCAGGAUCUAUUAACCAGUUUGGAUAUGUAAUACUCCCUCCGUUCUUUUUUAAUUGACUCGAAUUUAGUACAAGUUUGUACUAAAUCCGAGUCAAUUAAAAAGGAACGGAGGGAGUACAAAUGAGGAAAAUGAGGUUGUAUUAGGCGUAUGAACUGUAUUCUUUGGUACGAAACCUGAAUUUUCGUUUUGCA